CACGUAGGGCGCAAGCGUUGUCCGGAAUUAUUGGGUGUAAAGAGCUCGUAGGCGGUCUGUUGCGUCCGCUGUGAAAACCCGGGGCUUAACCCUGGGCUGGCAGUGGAUACGGACAGACUAGAGGUAGGUAGGGGAGAAUGGAAUUCCCGGUGUAGCGGUGAAAUGCGCAGAUAUCGGGAGGAACACCGGUGGCGAAGGCGACAUCCUGGACCGGUAUUGACGCUGAGGCGCGAAAGCCAGGGGAGCAAACGGG
Molecule: ribosomal RNA, 253 nt
Filed under: uncultured bacterium
Lineage: Bacteria
Description: partial 16S ribosomal RNA
Rfam family: Bacterial small subunit ribosomal RNA
Source: RNAcentral